RNAcentral lists this ribosomal RNA (203 nucleotides) under uncultured bacterium. RNAcentral describes it as "partial 16S ribosomal RNA". It matches the Rfam family "Bacterial small subunit ribosomal RNA", at positions 1298 to 1500 of the family's 1533-position model. The record is from RNAcentral.
UUGUAGUCUGCAACUCGACUACAUGAAGCUGGAAUCGCUAGUAAUCGCAGAUCAGAAUGCUGCGGUGAAUACGUUCCCGGGUCUUGUACACACCGCCCGUCACACCAUGGGAGUCGGAAAUGCCCGAAGCCGGUGACCCAACCAAAAGGAGGGAGCUGCCGAAGGUGGAGCCGGUAACUGGGGUGAAGUCGUAACAAGGUAGC